Molecule: ribosomal RNA, 458 nt
Filed under: uncultured bacterium
Lineage: Bacteria
Description: partial 16S ribosomal RNA
Rfam family: Bacterial small subunit ribosomal RNA
Source: RNAcentral
CCUACGGGGGGCAGCAGUGAGGAAUAUUGGUCAAUGGGCGAGAGCCUGACCCAGCCAAGUCGCGUGAGGGAGUACUGCCCUAUGGGUUGUAAACCUCUUUUGUCGGGGAGCAAAAGCCGGACGUGUCCGGCUGUGAGAGUAACCGAAGAAAAUGCAUCAGCUAACUCCGUGCCCGAAGCAGCGGUAAUACGGAGGAGGCGGGCGUUAGCCGGAUUUAUGGGGUUUAAAGGGGGCGCAGGCGGAUUUUUAUGUCUGCGGUAAAAUCGUGGGGCCAAACCCCAUCCAGCCGUUGAAACUGGGGAUCUAGAGUGUGCGAGAGGUAUGCGGAAUGCGUGGUGUAGCGGUGAAAUGCAUAGAUAUCACGCAGAACCCCGAUGGCGAAGGCAGCAUACCGGUGCACAACUGACGCUCAGGCACGAAAGCGUGGGUAUCGAACAGGAUUAGAUACCCUUGUAGUC